GUCCAGACUCCUACGGGAGGCAGCAGUGAGGAAUAUUGGUCAAUGGCCGAGAGGCUGAACCAGCCAAGUCGCGUGAGGGAUGACGGCCCUACGGGUUGUAAACCUCUUUUGCCGGGGAGCAAAGAGCGGGACGCGUCCCGCCUCGAGAGUACCCGGAGAAAAAGCAUCGGCUAACUCCGUGCCAGCAGCCGCGGUAAUACGGAGGAUGCGAGCGUUAUCCGGAUUUAUUGGGUUUAAAGGGUGCGUAGACGGGAAAUUAAGUUAGUUGUGAAAUCCCUCGGCUUAACUGAGGAACUGCAACUAAAACUGAUUUUCUUGAGUACUGGAGAGGAAAGUGGAAUUCCUAGUGUAGCGGUGAAAUGCGUAGAUAUUAGGAGGAACACCAGUGGCGAAGGCGACUUUCUGGACAGUAACUGACGUUGAGGCACGAAAGUGUGGGGAGCAAACAGGAUUAGAUACCCGUGUAAU
RNAcentral lists this ribosomal RNA (468 nucleotides) under uncultured bacterium. RNAcentral's name for it is "bacterial SSU rRNA". It matches the Rfam family "Bacterial small subunit ribosomal RNA", at positions 329 to 794 of the family's 1533-position model. The record is from RNAcentral.